UUGGAGGGCAAGUCUGGUGCCAGCAGCCGCGGUAAUUCCAGCUCCAAUAGCGUAUAUUAAAGUUGUUGCAGUUAAAAAGCUCGUAGUUGAAUUUCGGGAUCAAUACGUCGGUCGUGCCUUCGGUACGCACUGGCGUCGUUGAUUUCUCCCUUCUGAUGAACCAUGAUGUCAUUAAUUUGGUGUUGUGGGGAGUCAGGACUGUUACUUUGAAAAAAUUAGAGUGUUUAAAGCAGGCAAACGCUUGAAUACAUUAGCAUGGAAUAAUGAAAUAGGACGUUCGAACCUAUUUUGUUGGUUUCUAGGUACAACGUAAUGAUUAAUAGGGAUAGUUGGGGGCAUUAGUAUUCAAUUGUCAGAGGUGAAAUUCUUGGAUUUAUUGAAGACUAACUACUGCGAAAGCAUUUGCCAAGGAUGUUUUCAUUAAUCAAGAACGAAAGUUAGGGGAUCGAAGACGAUCAGAUACCGUCGUAGUCUUAACCAUAAACUAUGCCGACUAGGGAUCGGAUGAAGUUAAUUUUUUAAUGACUCAUUCGGCGCCUUACGGGAAAC
Molecule: ribosomal RNA, 549 nt
Filed under: uncultured Glomeromycotina
Lineage: Eukaryota; Fungi; Glomeromycota
Description: SSU rRNA
Rfam family: Eukaryotic small subunit ribosomal RNA
Source: RNAcentral